RNAcentral lists this ribosomal RNA (2894 nucleotides) under Limnobacter sp. CACIAM 66H1. RNAcentral's name for it is "bacterial LSU rRNA". It matches the Rfam family "Bacterial large subunit ribosomal RNA". Lineage: Bacteria; Pseudomonadati; Pseudomonadota; Betaproteobacteria; Burkholderiales; Burkholderiaceae. The record is from RNAcentral.
UAUAGAGUCAAGCGAAUAAGUGCACAUGGUGGAUGCCUUGGCAGUCAUAGGCGAUGAAGGACGUGGUAGCCUGCGAAAAGCUACGGGGAGCUGGCAAACAAGCUUUGAUCCGUAGAUGUCCGAAUGGGGAAACCCACCCUUUUAGGGGUAUCGCACAGUGAAUACAUAGCUGUGCGAGGCGAACCUGGAGAACUGAAACAUCUAAGUACCCAGAGGAAAAGAAAUCAACCGAGAUUCCGAGAGUAGUGGCGAGCGAAAUUGGAUCAGCCUGUACGAUUUAGCAUUUGAGUUAACAAAACGGUCUUGAAAGUCCGGCCAUAGAAGGUGAUAGCCCUGUAUGUGAAAACUCGAUUGUGGAACUAGGCGUACGACAAGUAGGGCGGGGCACGAGAAACCCUGUCUGAACAUGGGGGGACCAUCCUCCAAGGCUAAAUACUCAUGACUGACCGAUAGUGAACUAGUACCGUGAGGGAAAGGCGAAAAGAACCCCGGGAGGGGAGUGAAAUAGAUCCUGAAACCGUGUGCAUACAAACAGUCGGAGCCUCUUUAUGGGGUGACGGCGUACCUUUUGUAUAAUGGGUCAGCGACUUACAUUCAGUGGCAAGCUUAACCGAGUAGGGAAGGCGUAGCGAAAGCGAGUCCGAAUAGGGCGUCUAGUCGCUGGGUGUAGACCCGAAACCAGAUGAUCUAUCCAUGGCCAGGUUGAAGGUUGGGUAACACCAACUGGAGGACCGAACCCACUAACGUUGAAAAGUUAGGGGAUGAGCUGUGGAUAGGGGUGAAAGGCUAAACAAAUCUGGAAAUAGCUGGUUCUCCCCGAAAACUAUUUAGGUAGUGCCUCGAGUCUCACUACAGGGGGUAGAGCACUGUUAUGGCUAGGGGGUCAUCGCGACUUACCAAACCAUGGCAAACUCCGAAUACCUGUAAGUGCAAUCUCGGGAGACAGACAUCGGGUGCUAACGUCCGGUGUCAAGAGGGAAACAACCCAGACCGCCAGCUAAGGUCCCUAAUAUCUGCUAAGUGGAAAACGAAGUGGGAAGGCUAAAACAGUCAGGAGGUUGGCUUAGAAGCAGCCACCCUUUAAAGAAAGCGUAAUAGCUCACUGAUCGAGUCGUCCUGCGCGGAAGAUGUAACGGGGCUAAGCAGAUAACCGAAGCUGCGGAUGUACACGCAAGUGUAUGUGGUAGGGGAGCGUUCUGUAAGCCUGCGAAGGUGUGUUGUAAAGCAUGCUGGAGGUAUCAGAAGUGCGAAUGCUGACAUGAGUAGCGAUAAACAGAGUGAAAGGCUCUGUCGCCGUAAGCCCAAGGUUUCCUACGCAACGUUCAUCGGCGUAGGGUUAGUCGGCCCCUAAGGCGAGGCAGAAAUGCGUAGUCGAUGGGAAGCAGGUUAAUAUUCCUGCACCGACGUGUAAUGCGAUGGGGGGACGGAUCGUGGAAAGUGGUCCAGGUGUUGGAUAUCCUGGUCCCUGCAUCAUAGAGGACAGUUAGGCAAAUCCGGCUGUCAUAUACUCAAGGGUGUGGGGCGAAGUAGCUACGGCUACGAAGCCAUUGGAAGUGGUCCCAAGAAAAGCCUCUAAGCUUCAGUUACACGUUGACCGUACCGCAAACCGACACAGGUGGGCGGGAUGAGUAUUCUAAGGCGCUUGAGAGAACUCAGGAGAAGGAACUCGGCAAAUUGGUACCGUAACUUCGGGAGAAGGUACGCCCUUGUAGUUUGACCAUGAACAGUGGAAGGACGAAGGGGUUGCAAUAAAAUGGUGGCUGCGACUGUUUAAUAAAAACACAGCUCUCUGCAAACACGAAAGUGGACGUAUAGGGAGUGACGCCUGCCCGGUGCUGGAAGAUUAAAUGAUGGGGUGCAAGCUCUUGACUGAAGUCCCAGUAAACGGCGGCCGUAACUAUAACGGUCCUAAGGUAGCGAAAUUCCUUGUCGGGUAAGUUCCGACCUGCACGAAUGGCGUAACGAUGGCCACACUGUCUCCUCCUGAGACUCAGCGAAGUUGAAGUGUUUGUGAUGAUGCAAUCUCCCCGCGGCUAGACGGAAAGACCCCAUGAACCUUUACUGUAGCUUUGCAUUGGACUUUGAACCGGUUUGUGUAGGAUAGGUGGGAGGCUUUGAAGUGGGAACGCCAGUUCUCAUGGAGCCAUCCUUGAAAUACCACCCUGAUCUGUUUGAGGUUCUAACCUUGACCCAUUAUCUGGGCCGGGGACCGUGCAUGGUGGGCAGUUUGACUGGGGCGGUCUCCUCCUAAAGAGUAACGGAGGAGCUCGAAGGUACGCUAAGUACGGUCGGACAUCGUACUGAUAGUGCAAUGGCAUAAGCGUGCUUGACUGCGAGACUGACAAGUCGAGCAGGUGCGAAAGCAGGACAUAGUGAUCCGGUGGUUCUGUAUGGAAGGGCCAUCGCUCAACGGAUAAAAGGUACUCUGGGGAUAACAGGCUGAUACCGCCCAAGAGUUCACAUCGACGGCGGUGUUUGGCACCUCGAUGUCGGCUCAUCUCAUCCUGGGGCUGUAGCCGGUCCCAAGGGUAUGGCUGUUCGCCAUUUAAAGAGGUACGUGAGCUGGGUUUAAAACGUCGUGAGACAGUUUGGUCCCUAUCUGCCGUGGGCGUUGGAAAUUUGAAGGGGGCUGUUCCUAGUACGAGAGGACCGGAAUGGACGUAUCUCUGGUGUACCGGUUGUCACGCCAGUGGCAUUGCCGGGUAGCUAAAUACGGAAGAGAUAAACGCUGAAAGCAUCUAAGCGUGAAACUUGCCUUAAGAUAAGAUUUCCCUGAGGACUUGAUCCUCCUGAAGGGCCGUUGAAGACCACGACGUUGAUAGGCUGGGUGUGGAAGUGCAGUAAUGCAUUAAGCUAACCAGUACUAAUUGCCCGUGCGGCUUGGCUCUAUAGCA